GGGAUGAGGGGUAGGGGGUAGGGUGGGGGUAAUGAGAGCACACGUGACAACAUCUCUGGUUCGCCGGGUCUGUCUUGUUGGGCUGUAUGUUGGGAUGGGGAAGGAUCUCUCAAGGCAAACAGCACACUGUAUCCGCAUGACCAAGAAGAGGGCCUUCUUUAAGCUGGGAAUAAAAAUAAGAGGGAAAGAACCUUUGGUUACUGAGACUGGUACAACAGUAGUAUAGUGUCCCUGAAGGGAAAGUCUGGAGACAGAUCGAUGUCUUUGAAGGCACACUUUUCAACCUAAAAACCUACUGAGAGUGGAAGACUUUUUUUUUUCGCACCCCAGCGGCUUUUUUGCCUCCCGCUCUAAUCUAAGAGUUAUGCCCACAUUAUGAAUAUUGGUGGAGAGUGAGUCUAACUCAGUUUCAGGAGCCUGGAGAAAAAAGGGUGUAUGCAGCUAAGGCUAACUGUGGAUUUCCCACAGUUUCAUCUGAGUUUCAUCUCAGCAGCCCUGGUGAUAGCACAAUGAACCGCCGGCAAAGCCCAGGUGGUUUGUGAUGUCACCAGAAUGAGGCGAUGUAAUUAUAGCCUAGGGGCCGUUUCCUGUGGUAGGAACCGCUCUGGUCUCUCCAGUCUGAUUACACGCAUUGCAGUGAGUGGGGCAGGUCAUUUCAUAGUAAGGAACGAAGCAAAAGCUCUGGGUCCAGAUCCCCUUGAUUUUUCUAAUAUGGCUCUUAGGAACUUUACAAAUGGCCCACCACCCACGCACUCAGGAUGAGUCCUAGAAUAUACCAGACAUUCCACACAAGCAGCAUCACACUCCCACACCACAGUCUUCAGUCUCUCAGGAUCCAGAAACUGGGACCCUUUCAGACUCCUACAAGAGCUUUCUAAUAAAGUAGUCACCAGCCUACA
RNAcentral lists this long non-coding RNA (899 nucleotides) under Phascolarctos cinereus (koala). Its description in RNAcentral is "lncRNA (ENSPCIG00000019764.2)". Lineage: Eukaryota; Metazoa; Chordata; Mammalia; Diprotodontia; Phascolarctidae. The record is from RNAcentral.